GACGAACGCUGGCGGCGUGCUUAACACAUGCAAGUCGAACGGAAAGGCCCUGCUUUUGUGGGGUGCUCGAGUGGCGAACGGGUGAGUAACACGUGAGUAACCUGCCCUUGACUUUGGGAUAACUUCAGGAAACUGGGGCUCAUACCCGAUAGGAGCUCCUGCUGCAUGGUGGGGGUUGGAAAGUGUCGGCGGUUGUGGAUGGACUCGCGGCUCAUCAGCUUGUUGGUGGGGUAGUGGCUUACCAAGGCUUUGACGGGUAGCCGGCCUGAGAGGGUGACCGGCCACAUUGGGACUGAGAUACGGCCCAGACGCCUACGGGAGGCAGCAGUGGGGAAUAUUGCACAAUGGGCGGAAGCCUGAUGCAGCAACGCCGCGUGCGGGAUGACGGCCUUCGGGUUGUAAACCGCUUUCGCCUGUGACGAAGCGUGAGUGACGGUAAUGGGUAAAGAAGCACCGGCUAACUACGUG
Molecule: ribosomal RNA, 468 nt
Filed under: uncultured bacterium
Lineage: Bacteria
Description: partial 16S ribosomal RNA
Rfam family: Bacterial small subunit ribosomal RNA
Source: RNAcentral